GGGCCCGCACAAGCGGUGGAGCAUGUGGUUUAAUUCGAUGAUACGCGAGGAACCUUACCAGGGCUUAAAUGUUAGGUGACAGAUCUAGAAAUAGAUUUUUCUUCGGACACUUAACAAGGUGCUGCAUGGUUGUCGUCAGCUCGUGCCGUGAGGUGUCAGGUUAAGUCCUAUAACGAGCGCAACCCCUGUUGUUAGUUGCCAGCGAGUAAUGUCGGGAACUCUAGCAAGACUGCCAGUGCAAACUGUGAGGAAGGUGGGGAUGACGUCAAAUCAUCACGGCCCUUACGUCCUGGGCUACACACGUGCUACAAUGGUAGGUACAGAGAGCAGCCAAUGCGCGAGCAUGAGCAAAUCUCUUAAAGCUUGUCUCAGUUCGGAUAGGAGUCUGCAACUCGACUCCUUGAAGUUGGAGUCGCUAGUAA
RNAcentral lists this ribosomal RNA (422 nucleotides) under uncultured bacterium. Its description in RNAcentral is "bacterial SSU rRNA". It matches the Rfam family "Bacterial small subunit ribosomal RNA", at positions 917 to 1341 of the family's 1533-position model. The record is from RNAcentral.